Molecule: unclassified non-coding RNA, 167 nt
Filed under: uncultured Sebacinaceae
Lineage: Eukaryota; Fungi; Basidiomycota; Agaricomycetes; Sebacinales; Sebacinaceae
Description: sequence contains ITS1
Source: RNAcentral
AUGAUUGUCAAUGGUCACCUUCAGUGCUGGCGCAAGCAAGUGCACGUUGGUGGCUUUCAUCCACUACCCUUGUGAACCUUUGGCCUCUGCUAGCCUCGGCUGACAGAGGAUUUUGCACAAAUACUCGAAUGUAAUGAAAACUUUUAUUGUGCGCAAGCACUAAUGUA